ACACGUGAUUCAGAGUUUGAUCCUGGCUCAGGAUGAACGCUAGCGGCAGGCCUAAUACAUGCAAGUCGAACGGUAAAUAUUAUAGCAAUAUAGUAUGAGAGUGACGUACGGGUGCGUAACACGUAUGCAACCUACCCUUUACAGGAGUAUAGCUCGGGGAAACUCGAAUUAACCCUUCAUAGAAUAAUUGAGUGGCAUCACUUGGUUAUUAAAAUCGCAAGAUGGUAAAGGAUGGGCAUGCGUCUGAUUAGCUAGUUGGCAGUGUAAUGGACUACCAAGGCGAUGAUCAGUAGGGGAACCGAGAGGUUGAUCCCCCACACUGGCACUGAGAUACGGGCCAG
This 341-nucleotide ribosomal RNA is filed under the name uncultured bacterium. RNAcentral's name for it is "bacterial SSU rRNA". It matches the Rfam family "Bacterial small subunit ribosomal RNA", at positions 1 to 334 of the family's 1533-position model. The record is from RNAcentral.